RNAcentral lists this transfer RNA (73 nucleotides) under Felis catus (domestic cat). It matches the Rfam family "tRNA". Rfam says of the family: Transfer RNA (tRNA) molecules are approximately 80 nucleotides in length. Their secondary structure includes four short double-helical elements and three loops (D, anti-codon, and T loops). Further hydrogen bonds mediate the characteristic L-shaped molecular structure. tRNAs have two regions of fundamental functional importance: the anti-codon, which is responsible for specific mRNA codon recognition, and the 3' end, to which the tRNAs corresponding amino acid is attached (by aminoacyl-tRNA synthetases). tRNAs cope with the degeneracy of the genetic code in two manners: having more than one tRNA (with a specific anti-codon) for a particular amino acid; and 'wobble' base-pairing, i.e. permitting non-standard base-pairing at the 3rd anti-codon position. Lineage: Eukaryota; Metazoa; Chordata; Mammalia; Carnivora; Felidae. The record is from Rfam by way of RNAcentral.
ACCUAUCUGGCUCAGUCAGUACAGCAUGUGACUUUUGAUCUCAGGGUAAUGAGUUCAGGCCCCAUGUUGGGUU